Molecule: long non-coding RNA, 647 nt
Organism: Hyaena hyaena (striped hyena)
Lineage: Eukaryota; Metazoa; Chordata; Mammalia; Carnivora; Hyaenidae
Exons: 3
Source: RefSeq, a predicted model, not a curated record
UCACGUGGCUGAGCCUUAAGGACCGCACCAGGGCUUGUCAUCUUGAGUGUCCCCCCUUUCGAAGCUGCCCGCUCCAGCAUUCACGGCGGGGGGCGCCCCCGGAACCCCCGCGUGCACGUGCGGGGGAGCCGUCCCACGCGCGCGCUGACCAGGAGCCCACAGAGCCCCCCGAAGUCCUCUGAAGCCGCGUCGGGGUGCACAGACGACCCCGCGGCGGGGCACCGGGGGACGGAGGAGGGGGCCGGGGCCCUGGGGGACCGCCGCGCGGUCGGCCGACGGCCGAGCGCCCCUCCCACCCGCACACCAACCAUGACGAAGUCGUCCUUGCGGUAAACCUUCGGUGACCAAGUUAUGGAUGAAAAAUGUUGAAGGCAACAGGCCCAAGAUGCAAAGUCCUCCCAUUAGAGAUGGGAACAUGAAUGUGCCAAAGCUGAAAGAUGAAGGUGCGUGAGCUCCUCUGUCAACGACAGCUCUAUGUAGGAGAAGAACAGCGAGCAGAUGUUUCUGGGAAGAGAUUACCUUUUGUUUAUAUCUGACUCACAAACAUGACUCAAAUGAUUAAAAAACUAACCUUGCCAAUUAAAUCCCAUGUAAUUUCUAGCUUGUUUGUCAUGGAAAUAAACUGGAAAGGAGAUAGUUUUAUUUAA